GAGUACGACGGAGCACGUGAAAUUCCGUCGGAAUCUGGGAGGACCAUCUCCUAAGGCUAAAUACUCUCUAGUGACCGAUAGUGAACCAGUACCGUGAGGGAAAGGUGAAAAGCACCCCGGAAGGGGAGUGAAAUAGAACCUGAAACCGUGUGCUUACAAGUAGUCAGAGCCCGUUAAUGGGUGAUGGCGUGCCUUUUGUAGAAUGAACCGGCGAGUUACGAUUUGAUGCAAGGUUAAGCAGUAAAUGUGGAGCCGUAGCGAAAGCGAGUCUGAAUAGGGCGUUUAGUAUUUGGUCGUAGACCCGAAACCAGGUGAUCUACCCUUGGUCAGGUUGAAGUUCAGGUAACACUGAAUGGAGGACCGAACCGACUUACGUUGAAAAGUGAGCGGAUGAACUGAGGGUAGCGGAGAAAUUCCAAUCGAACCUGGAGAUAGCUGGUUCUCUCCGAAAUAGCUUUAGGGAUAGCCUCAAGUGAUGAUUAUUGGAGGUAGAGCACUGUUUGGACGAGGGGCCCCUCUCGGGUUACCGAAUUCAGACAAACUCCGAAUGCCAAUUAAUUUAACUUGGGAGUCAGAACAUGGGUGAUAAGGUCCGUGUUCGAAAGGGAAACAGCCCAGACCACCAGCUAAGGUCCCAAAAUAUAUGUUAAGUGGAAAAGGAUGUGGCGUUGCCCAGACAACUAGGAUGUUGGCUUAGAAGCAGCCAUCAUUUAAAGAGUGCGUAAUAGCUCACUAGUCGAGUGACACUGCGCCGAAAAUGUACCGGGGCUAAACAUAUUACCGAAGCUGUGGAUUGUCCUUUGGACAAUGGUAGGAGAGCGUUCUAAGGGCGUUGAAGCAUGAUCGUAAGGACAUGUGGAGCGCUUAGAAGUGAGAAUGCCGGUGUGAGUAGCGAAAGACGGGUGAGAAUCCCGUCCACCGAUUGACUAAGGUUUCCAGAGGAAGGCUCGUCCGCUCUGGGUUAGUCGGGUCCUAAGCUGAGGCCGACAGGCGUAGGCGAUGGAUAACAGGUUGAUAUUCCUGUACCACCUAUAAUCGUUUUAAUCGAUGGGGGGACGCAGUAGGAUAGGCGAAGCGUGCGAUUGGAUUGCACGUCUAAGCAGUAAGGCUGAGUAUUAGGCAAAUCCGGUACUCGUUAAGGCUGAGCUGUGAUGGGGAGAAGACAUUGAGUCUUCGAGUCGUUGAUUUCACACUGCCGAGAAAAGCCUCUAGAUAGAAAAUAGGUGCCCGUACCGCAAACCGACACAGGUAGUCAAGAUGAGAAUUCUAAGGUGAGCGAGCGAACUCUCGUUAAGGAACUCGGCAAAAUGACCCCGUAACUUCGGGAGAAGGGGUGCUCUUUAGGGUUAACGCCCAGAAGAGCCGCAGUGAAUAGGCCCAAGCGACUGUUUAUCAAAAACACAGGUCUCUGCUAAACCGUAAGGUGAUGUAUAGGGGCUGACGCCUGCCCGGUGCUGGAAGGUUAAGAGGAGUGGUUAGCUUCUGCGAAGCUACGAAUCGAAGCCCCAGUAAACGGCGGCCGUAACUAUAACGGUCCUAAGGUAGCGAAAUUCCUUGUCGGGUAAGUUCCGACCCGCACGAAAGGCGUAACGAUUUGGGCACUGUCUCAACGAGAGACUCGGUGAAAUCAUAGUACCUGUGAAGAUGCAGGUUACCCGCGACAGGACGGAAAGACCCCGUGGAGCUUUACUGUAGCCUGAUAUUGAAAUUCGGCACAGCUUGUACAGGAUAGGUAGGAGCCUUUGAAACGUGAGCGCUAGCUUACGUGGAGGCGCUGGUGGGAUACUACCCUAGCUGUGUUGGCUUUCUAACCCGCACCACUUAUCGUGGUGGGAGACAGUGUCAAGCGGGCAGUUUGACUGGGGCGGUCGCCUCCUAAAAGGUAACGGAGGCGCUCAAAGGUUCCCUCAGAAUGGUUGGAAAUCAUUCAUAGAGUGUAAAGGCAUAAGGGAGCUUGACUGCGAGACCUACAAGUCGAGCAGGGUCGAAAGACGGACUUAGUGAUCCGGUGGUUCCGCAUGGAAGGGCCAUCGCUCAACGGAUAAAAGCUACCCCGGGGAUAACAGGCUUAUCUCCCCCAAGAGUUCACAUCGACGGGGAGGUUUGGCACCUCGAUGUCGGCUCAUCGCAUCCUGGGGCUGUAGUCGGUCCCAAGGGUUGGGCUGUUCGCCCAUUAAAGCGGUACGCGAGCUGGGUUCAGAACGUCGUGAGACAGUUCGAUCCCUAUCCGUCGUGGGCGUAGGAAAUUUGAGAGGAGCUGUCCUUAGUACGAGAGGACCGGGAUGGACAUACCUCUGGUGUACCAGUUGUCGUGCCAACGGCAUAGCUGGGUAGCUAUGUGUGGACGGGAUAAGUGCUGAAAGCAUCUAAGCAUGAAGCCCCCCUCAAGAUGAGAUUUCCCAACUUCGGUUAUAAGAUCCCUCAAAGAUGAUGAGGUUAAUAGGUUCGAGGUGGAAGCAUGGUGACAUGUGGAGCUGACGAAUACUAAUCGAUCGAAGACUUAAUCAA
RNAcentral lists this ribosomal RNA (2508 nucleotides) under Staphylococcus aureus DAR3144. RNAcentral's name for it is "bacterial LSU rRNA". It matches the Rfam family "Bacterial large subunit ribosomal RNA", at positions 410 to 2925 of the family's 2925-position model. Lineage: Bacteria; Bacillati; Bacillota; Bacilli; Caryophanales; Staphylococcaceae. The record is from RNAcentral.